This 389-nucleotide ribosomal RNA is filed under the name uncultured bacterium. RNAcentral's name for it is "bacterial SSU rRNA". It matches the Rfam family "Bacterial small subunit ribosomal RNA", at positions 452 to 842 of the family's 1533-position model. The record is from RNAcentral.
UGUGGGACGUGUCCUAUUUUGUAUGUACCUUAUGAAUAAGGAUCGGCUAACUCCGUGCCAGCAGCCGCGGUAAUACGGAGGAUCCGAGCGUUAUCCGGAUUUAUUGGGUUUAAAGGGUGCGUAGGCGGCCUUUUAAGUCAGCGGUGAAAGUCUGUGGCUCAACCAUAGAAUUGCCGUUGAAACUGGGGGGCUUGAGUAUGUUUGAGGCAGGCGGAAUGCGUGGUGUAGCGGUGAAAUGCUUAGAUAUCACGCAGAACCCCGAUUGCGAAGGCAGCCUGCCAAGCCAUGACUGACGCUGAUGCACGAAAGCGUGGGGAUCAAACAGGAUUAGAUACCCUGGUAGUCCACGCAGUAAACGAUGAUCACUAGCUGUUUGCGAUACAGUGUAA